Molecule: ribosomal RNA, 463 nt
Filed under: Virgibacillus sp. BF11
Lineage: Bacteria; Bacillati; Bacillota; Bacilli; Caryophanales; Bacillaceae
Description: bacterial SSU rRNA
Rfam family: Bacterial small subunit ribosomal RNA (bases 1-352)
Source: RNAcentral
GGCCCACGUGACACGGUUAUGACCUAGCGGUCUACACACGCUGCUACAAUGGAUGGAACAAAGGGCAGCGAAGCCGCGAGGCCAAGCAAAUCCCAUAAAACCAUUCUCAGUUCGGAUUGCAGGCUGCAACUCGCCUGCAUGAAGCCGGAAUCGCUAGUAAUCGCGGAUCAGCAUGCCGCGGUGAAUACGUUCCCGGGUCUUGUACACACCGCCCGUCACACCACGAGAGUUGGUAACACCCGAAGUCGGUGAGGUAACCUUUUGGAGCCAGCCGCCGAAGGUGGGACCAAUGAUUGGGGUGAAGUCGUAACAAGGUAGCCGUAUCGGAAGGUGCGGUUAUUCAACCUCCUGAGAUCCGCAAUGCCUGAUACUCCACGGCGGCAUCGAAAUCCUCGUGUUGAACCGUAACGGAAUGAUUCACUUCAGCCUCCUGUCACUGGCGGUUUUUUUAAGAAAAGAAGUU